UUUUGUAUAAUGGGUCAGCGACUUAUAUUCUGUAGCAAGGUUAACCGAAUAGGGGAGCCGAAGGGAAACCGAGUCUUAACUGGGCGUUAAGUUGCAGGGUAUAGACCCGAAACCCGGUGAUCUAGCCAUGGGCAGGUUGAAGGUUGGGUAACACUAACUGGAGGACCGAACCGACUAAUGUUGAAAAAUUAGCGGAUGACUUGUGGCUGGGGGUGAAAGGCCAAUCAAACCGGGAGAUAGCUGGUUCUCCCCGAAAGCUAUUUAGGUAGCGCCUCGUGAAUUCAUCUCCGGGGGUAGAGCACUGUUUCGGCAAGGGGGUCAUCCCGACUUACCAACCCGAUGCAAACUGCGAAUACCGGAGAAUGUUAUCACGGGAGACACACGGCGGGUGCUAACGUCCGUCGUGAAGAGGGAAACAACCCAGACCGCCAGCUAAGGUCCCAAAGUCAUGGUUAAGUGGGAAACGAUGUGGGAAGGCCCAGACAGCCAGGAUGUUGGCUUAGAAGCAGCCAUCAUUUAAAGAAAGCGUAAUAGCUCACUGGUCGAGUCGGCCUGCGCGGAAGAUGUAACGGGGCUAAACCAUGCACCGAAGCUGCGGCAGCGACACUAUGUGUUGUUGGGUAGGGGAGCG
RNAcentral lists this ribosomal RNA (631 nucleotides) under Escherichia coli. Its description in RNAcentral is "partial 23S ribosomal RNA". It matches the Rfam family "Bacterial large subunit ribosomal RNA", at positions 606 to 1238 of the family's 2925-position model. Lineage: Bacteria; Pseudomonadati; Pseudomonadota; Gammaproteobacteria; Enterobacterales; Enterobacteriaceae. The record is from RNAcentral.